CCAAGCCAGCUCAGUCAACAG
Molecule: unclassified non-coding RNA, 21 nt
Filed under: Mus musculus (house mouse)
Lineage: Eukaryota; Metazoa; Chordata; Mammalia; Rodentia; Muridae
Description: oocyte_clustered_small_RNA1627
Source: RNAcentral